GCUGAGGCAGAGACAGCCGCUGGGUGUUGCAGGUCAGGAGGGGGGAGAGGGGAGGGAGGAGAAGGCACACGUGCUUGCAGCCUUCCUCCCGUCCCCUCCCCUCCCCUCCCCUCUCCCCAGCAGUCGCCUAGAGGAGACGCCGAGGGAGCUUCUGGUCUGGUGGGAGACACAGGAAUCUCUGCAGUGGACCUCACUCACCUGAACAGCUGCUGGGGCUUCCAACGUAGCCUGUGAGAAUGCUGAUAAAUACACAAGAAGAAAAUGCAAAUAAGGUCACAUGUUCCUCAGAGAGAUCUCUAGAGAUUAUCCAGACACCCAAACCAUGUCCUCAUUAUAUAAUAUAACAGCAGCAGUCCAUCUACUAUUCAGUUUUUGGAUGAUUCUACUGGAAAAUGCUUACCAGAACGGUUUAUGAAUGUUUUGAAUGAGAAUAAAAUAAAGCUUCAGGACUGCAGCGACCAGAGCUAUGACAACAGUACGAAUAUAAAAGCAAGAAACAGUGGCAUACAGGCAAGGAUCCUUGCGCUGAAUCCAAGAGCUUUCUUCAUGCCUUGUGGCUGCCAUUCCCUCUACCCGAUUGUGUCAGAUGCAGCGUCAUCAUCUUCAGAUUCAGUAUCUCUCUUCAGAGUACUGCAAAGGAUCUACAUCCUGUUUUCAGCAUCAACCAUCAGAUGAAAGAUCCUCAUGGACUAUGUUACAAAUCUGCCAACAAAGCCACUAAGUGACACUCGCUGGGAGAGGCUCAUUUACAGCAUAAGGCCAGUGAGGUUCUAAGUGACUGAGGUUUACGAUGCUUUGAUGGAACUGGCACAGUCAAGUAAAGCGAAGGCCAGAAUAUGACACAAGGUGCAAGGUCUGGCAAACUAGAUAAUUGAAUUCAAAUUUCUGGUCUCAACUGUGGUUUGGCACAAUAUCCUGUUCCAAGUAAAUGUUGUAAGCAAAGCAUUAAAAAUCUCAGUCAAUGGACAUUGUGACUGCUAUAAUUUUGAUGAGAAGCUGCCUAGAUUUCACUGUGGCCUACAGAAACAACAGAUUUGAAGAUGCCAUUGCUGCUGACAAAGAAAUGAUGGAAAACUUAAGAGCUGAGUCUGUCUUCAAGGAAACUCAUAUUCAGAAGAAGAAGAGACAGUUUGGUUACAAGUGCAGAGAUGAGGUGAUGGGAAGCUCGGAGGAGAAAUUCAAGAGUGAGAUUUUUUGCUUGCUUAUUACACUGCUCGAGUGUCCAUUGAAGAAAGGUUUGGUCAAAUGAAGCACCAUGGAAAUACCCUGGGAGGGUUGGAUGAUUUUAGUAAGUUGCCAGUGGAUGGGAAAACCUUCUUGAAAAAUUGAAGGACCUUCACAGAUGCUGGCACAUGGAGAAUGUUCAGAUAUCAAUGAUAAAGACUCUAUGUCGAAUUGGACAACAUCUGUGACAUUUUGCCACACGUGAAUAACUUUCCACUCCAAGUUCUCCAAUUCAUUCAUUGGAGAGCUAAAGGACACUUUUCCUAAUCUGUGGAUAGCUUUGAGGAUUCUGCUCAUGCUGCCUGUCACAUUUGCGAGUGGUGAGCGCAGCUUUUUGAAGCUCAAGCUCAUUAAAACAUAUUUUUGAUUGAUGAUUGUCUCUCAUUGGCUGACAUCAUAUGCAAUUUUACCACUUGAAAUUGACAUUGGCCAGUCUUUGGAUCUCUCUGACACUGUGCUUCAGUUUACGAGGGCAAAAGCAAGAAAAGCGACUUUCUGAACUAAAGGACUACGGAAUUAUCCUAUAACCACAAGGAACAUAGAAGGAGGCAGCAAAAAAUUUCACACCAAAAAGGUUCAGACAGAGACUUCCUGUGUGACCUUGGGCAAGUCACCUAUUCUACCUUGUGCCUCAGUUUCCCAUCUGUAAAAUGGAGAAAAUACUUCCUUCUCUUACAGGGAGGUUGUGAGGAUGACAUACAUGAAUGAUUGAGGGCGAGGUGCUACAACUCUAAGAACAGCUGAAAGCAAAGAUUUCCAGAAGCAGGAACCUAACUUCAUACCGAGGCAUCUACAUGCAUGGCCUGAUUUUCAAAAUGCUGAACACCCAACAGUUCUUCUGCAAGUUAAUGAAAAUGUACACCACACUCCACACCAUACACUACUUAAUCACCAUUGAAUGACCAAGUCCCAAAAUCUCAAUCCAGCAGCCCUUGAUUAGGGCUAAAUUAUACCCCCUGUACAAAAUAUCCAUGGAGGGGAAUGAAAAAUUCCACUAGUUUCAUCUUGAAGAGUUUCUGACAAAUCACCCUGGGGGAGGUGAGAUUCAUUCUCCCUCAUCUCCCAUGGAACAAGCAAGAAAAAUGCACUCACAAGAUAGCUGGGAGUGCUAGUUACUCCCUAAGCCUAGAGAAAUACCAUGGGGCUUCCAGAAAAUGAGUGAAUUCUUUUCCAGGUAUAUGACUAGUAGGUCUUGACCACAUGCUCAGCAUUUAACUGAUUGCAAUAUUUGGGGUCGGAAAGGAAUUUUCCCCCAGCUCAGAGACCCUGUUUUUUUGUUUUUUGCUUUCCUCUGCAGCAUGGGUCACAGGUCACUUGCAGGUUUAAAUUAAUGUAAUUUGUAGGUUCUCUGUAACUUGAAGUCUUUUAAUCAUGAUCUGAGGACUUCAGUAAUUCAACCAGAGGUUAUGGGUCUAUUACAGGAGUGGGUGGGUGAGGUUGUGUGGCCUGCAAUGUGCAGGAGGCCAGACACGACAAUCAUGAUGGUCCCUUAUGGCCUCAAAGUAGGAGUCCAAGUCUAUGAGUGGUAGAGGAAGAAAAGGAGAACUCCCCAUUGUACCUCAGCUCCGUUAGGGGUAAAUGAUAUCAAAGAAAGUCUUGCCUGAGUAAGGAUUGCAGGAAUGGGUCCCCCUUAAUACUGGUCCUGUGUGUGCCUAUACAAGACCUAAAAGGAGAUAUGUUCCUUCCCCCUGGGACACUUACAUUCUAAAUAGAUAGGCACCAUGAGCAUGCACUGAUGGACCCAAAGGAUGGCCCCAGCUUAGCAUGUUAUUUGUAUUAUGUAAUGGUGUGCUGACAGCUUUUAUUGACAGGUUAUAGAAUUUGUGGGCCUCAGGGAAGAAGCGAAUCUUCUGGAAAUAUUUGAAUUGAAAGAGGGAAGAUGCCUUGUGGAAAGGGAAAGAAUUCCAGACACGUGGAACAGCAUGGACAAAGCCAUAGGGACUAGAGUGAAAGAAAACAAAAAACCAUGUAGGGUAGUGGGCCUCAUUGGUGGAAUGUAGUUGGUAAGGAAGGGGAUGCAAUUCCUUGACAGUGAGGGAAAGAAGCUUCUGAUUCCUUAAAAAAGAUCUAUGAAAUUACAGAAUUAGAAUCUUUUUCAAACCCGAGCCUUUCCUAUGGAAUUCUCUGAUAUUUAUCAGCUAUGGGUACAAUGUCACAGAGUUGCACACACACUAUCUCUUACACAAAUUAGACUGGUUUCUUAGCAAUGACUACAAAAGGAAAUAAAGUUCAGUCUCAGUCAGCAGGAAGAGUGACAAGCCUGCAUUAUUCUAAUUCAACCCACCCUGCAGGAUAUUCCUUGGUGCAGAGAAACUUGUGAACUCAUUGACUGAACACCGGGCUUCAUGGUGUCUGACUUUGUCUCCUUUAUGUAGCCUAGAAUUCUGAGUAACCUUUUGUUUUGCCCUUCAUUUAAUGUUUUGUAUGUGUGCUGAAUUUAUUUCCUUUUUGAGAAUGAAAUAUUUAUCAUAGGACAGAUUUAUUCAUUCAUGAGUUAAGAAGGUGACAACUGUUUUUUCCCCCCAUGUAUGUCAGCUAAUGCACUGUAAACUUUGACUAGGAGAGGUAUCUCUCAAAGUGAAGGGUAGUUACUAUAACCUUUGGAUUUGCAAACCUUCUUGAAUUUGGUUUCUCAACUGGAUUCAGUGCUUAUCGAGAUUCACAGACUGUGAAGUAAAUCUUCUGUUUCUGACCCUCCCUCCUCUAAUUUUUCUUUCCUAAUGAUUAAUUUUAGCAAUUCUUGAUUUUUAAAAGAAAGAAUUAUGCAAAAGAAGUUUCAGCAUUAAGAAAGAAAAAUAUCCCAAUUCAGCCCAGGAUGAUCUAUGAAUGAAUCAGUUAUAAGAGAGAAAGGAAAUGGGCUUUGGCUUUGAACCAACUGCCUGGAAUUGUCUAAAGAGUAAUAUCACUCUGUCAUUUGUUACUGUAAAAUCAAUGAGUGAAUUUCUUUAAUAAAAACACUUCCAGCCAGGA
Gopherus flavomarginatus (Mexican gopher tortoise) is the source of this 4194-nucleotide long non-coding RNA. RefSeq lists it as uncharacterized. Lineage: Eukaryota; Metazoa; Chordata; Testudines; Testudinidae. The record is from RefSeq and is a predicted model, not a curated record. The transcript is spliced from 5 exons.